RNAcentral lists this ribosomal RNA (532 nucleotides) under Penicillium sp. HCX-2014. RNAcentral describes it as "eukaryotic LSU rRNA". The stretch from base 162 to 314 matches the Rfam family "5.8S ribosomal RNA". Lineage: Eukaryota; Fungi; Ascomycota; Eurotiomycetes; Eurotiales; Aspergillaceae. The record is from RNAcentral.
CUGGGUCCAACCUCCCACCCGUGUUUAUUUUACCUUGUUGCUUCGGCGGGCCCGCCUUAACUGGCCGCCGGGGGGCUUACGCCCCCGGGCCCGCGCCCGCCGAAGACACCCUCGAACUCUGUCUGAAGAUUGUAGUCUGAGUGAAAAUAUAAAUUAUUUAAAACUUUCAACAACGGAUCUCUUGGUUCCGGCAUCGAUGAAGAACGCAGCGAAAUGCGAUACGUAAUGUGAAUUGCAAAUUCAGUGAAUCAUCGAGUCUUUGAACGCACAUUGCGCCCCCUGGUAUUCCGGGGGGCAUGCCUGUCCGAGCGUCAUUGCUGCCCUCAAGCACGGCUUGUGUGUUGGGCCCCGUCCUCCGAUCCCGGGGGACGGGCCCGAAAGGCAGCGGCGGCACCGCGUCCGGUCCUCGAGCGUAUGGGGCUUUGUCACCCGCUCUGUAGGCCCGGCCGGCGCUUGCCGAUCAACCCAAAUUUUUAUCCAGGUUGACCUCGGAUCAGGUAGGGAUACCCGCUGAACUUAAGCAUAUCAAUAA